GAUGAACGCUGGCGGCGUGCUUAACACAUGCAAGUCGAACGAAGCGCUUAAACGGAUUUCUUCGGAAUGAAGUUUUUGCGACUGAGUGGCGACGGGUGAGUAACGCGUGGGUAACCUGCCUCAUACAGGGGGAUAACAGUUGGAAACGACUGCUAAUACCGCAUAAGCGCACAGUACCGCAUGGUACGGUGUGAAAAACUCCGGUGGUAUGAGAUGGACCCGCGUCUGAUUAGGUAGUUGGUGGGGUAACGGCCUACCAAGCCGACGAUCAGUAGCCGACCUGAGAGGGUGACCGGCCACAUUGGGACUGAGACACGGCCCAA
RNAcentral lists this ribosomal RNA (323 nucleotides) under uncultured bacterium. RNAcentral describes it as "bacterial SSU rRNA". It matches the Rfam family "Bacterial small subunit ribosomal RNA", at positions 28 to 334 of the family's 1533-position model. The record is from RNAcentral.